GUUAGGAGCGCAGUGGCGGCGCAACCAGCCUUCUAGGGCGGCGGAGGAGUGGAGUCAACAUAUCAAUGGAGCAAGUCACAGUCGUCGAUGCCAGCUUCUUCUUGAAAUGUAGGAGUUUGAAAUACCUUUAAAACAUCCUUAUCGUGAAUCAGAAUCAGCCAUUAUUGGUUUUUGGGAGUUCAUCAUUUACUUGUAAUAUCCACAAUGUUAAUAUCACAUAGUGGUAUUGUAUGGACAAUACUAUUUACAAGUAAAAUGUUUAGAUCUGGAAAUUUCAUAUUGAAUAUUAGAUGCAGUAAUAAUGAUAUUUUGUUAGUUAACAUUUCUAGGAUACAUAUAUUGGUCAUUAUACAAAUUGGUGAUUUUUACUAGACAUAGUGAAAGAUAGUAUUUGAUAUGUAGAGUGGAUUAAACAGUAGCAUUUUUAAUAAUACAUGCUCUAAAAAUGUAAAAGAUACGGAAAAGAGGGUAGGUUAUUAAAAGAUUCUAAUUCGUUGUCCAGUAAAAUCCUUGGUGAUGAAUUUUUUUUUUUUUUUUUUUGCUUUUGAGAUCUUUGGUUUUGAGUUCAGGCUGCUACCAUGAAAUGGAAUUCCUAAAGAAACUCCCUGCUUAAGCAGCACACAGUGCUAAUUGUUCACUGGAGUUGGAAUUUUCACAUAUGCCUAACUCUGUUGGGGCUAUUCUUUCUUUCUAAUGUCACAACUCAGCUGUGCUCUUGGUAUUAAUAUUGGAGAACGAAAAUCUGUGCUCUGUUCUUGUUUCUAUGUAACCCACAUUUCUAAUUCUUUGUGCAGCACUUCCUCCUUACAAUUUAAGAAAUAGAGGAAAAACUUAAUUUCAACAUUAUCUGCAUUUGCAAGCAAUACAAAACAAGUUUAUUCUCGUGGAUUAGUUUGAAGUUCUGAAAUUUUUCUUUUGAAAUAUCUAUAGGAAAUGCUUUAAAACUAUGUUUCUAACACUUAGACUCUCAGAUAACUUUACUAAUAAAUGAUCUCUAUUUUAGAGGCCAAACAAGGCUGUUUUGUGAAAAGGACAGUUUUAUUUUAAAGUUAAUUUUCUGGUCUUUUUAAAGCUACCCAGAAUGGAAUCCUGACAAUGAUACAGGACACACAAUGUAAGUUAAAUUUUUUAAGCUACCAUUUGUAAAGGAGAUCAAUGUAAGGAAUUCAGGUUUAACUUUCAACAUUUCAUAAACAGUAUUUUCAGAAUUUCUUUACUGAAAAUGAGACUUUGAUAAAAUUCACUUUGGUUAACAAUUUUUAGAAUAUAUAUUAUGUAGUAAUUUGUAUUCUUUUAUUGUUAAUGUAGACUUUGACCUAGUUACUUCACAGAUACUCUGAAAGAUUGAAGUGGUUGUCAUAUAUUGGGGUGCUUUAACAUUAAAUCUUAAUUCUUUCCAAUGGACCUCUUUAUUAUGAUUUAUAUUUUAUGUCUUCACUUUACUAGGGGUGAUCCAUUCAUGUUGCAGCAGUCUACAAAUCCAGCACCAGGAAUUCUGGGACCUCCACCUCCCUCAUUUCAUCUUGGGGGACCAGCAGUUGGACCAAGAGGAAAUCUGGGUGCUGGAAAUGGAAACCUGCAAGGACCUAGACACAUGCAGAAAGGCAGAGUGGAAACUAGCAGAGUUGUUCACAUCAUGGAUUUUCAACGAGGGAAAAACUUGAGAUACCAGCUGUUACAGCUGGUAGAACCAUUUGGAGUCAUUUCAAAUCAUCUGAUUCUAAAUAAAAUUAAUGAGGCAUUUAUUGAAAUGGCAACCACAGAGGAUGCUCAGGCCGCAGUGGAUUAUUACACAACCACACCAGCGUUAGUAUUUGGCAAGCCAGUGAGAGUUCAUUUAUCCCAGAAGUAUAAAAGAAUAAAGAAACCUGAAGGAAAGCCAGAUCAGAAGUUUGAUCAAAAGCAAGAGCUUGGACGUGUGAUACAUCUCAGCAAUUUGCCGCAUUCUGGCUAUUCUGAUAGUGCUGUUCUCAAGCUUGCUGAGCCUUAUGGGAAAAUAAAGAAUUACAUAUUGAUGAGGAUGAAAAGUCAGGCUUUUAUUGAGAUGGAGACAAGAGAAGAUGCAAUGGCAAUGGUUGACCAUUGUUUGAAAAAAGCCCUUUGGUUUCAGGGGAGAUGUGUGAAGGUUGACCUGUCUGAGAAAUAUAAAAAACUGGUUCUGAGGAUUCCAAACAGAGGCAUUGAUUUACUGAAAAAAGAUAAAUCCCGAAAAAGAUCUUACUCUCCAGAUGGCAAAGAAUCUCCAAGUGAUAAGAAAUCCAAAACUGAUGGUUCCCAGAAGACUGAGAGUUCAACCGAAGGUAAAGAACAAGAAGAGAAGUCCGGUGAAGAUGGUGAGAAAGACACAAAGGAUGACCAGACAGAGCAGGAACCUAAUAUGCUCCUUGAAUCUGAAGAUGAGCUACUUGUAGAUGAAGAAGAAGCAGCAGCACUGCUAGAAAGUGGCAGUUCAGUGGGAGACGAGACCGAUCUUGCUAAUUUAGGUGAUGUGGCUUCUGAUGGGAAAAAGGAACCAUCAGAUAAAGCUGUGAAAAAAGAUGGAAGUGCUUCAGCAGCAGC
RNAcentral lists this small RNA (2559 nucleotides) under Pan troglodytes (chimpanzee). RNAcentral describes it as "retained intron". The record is from RNAcentral. Lineage: Eukaryota; Metazoa; Chordata; Mammalia; Primates; Hominidae.